This 9465-nucleotide long non-coding RNA is filed under the name Malus domestica (apple). Its description in RNAcentral is "long non-coding RNA (MDOM_LNC011507)". The record is from RNAcentral. Lineage: Eukaryota; Viridiplantae; Streptophyta; Magnoliopsida; Rosales; Rosaceae.
UGAGUCCUAAUUUUGUCCAAUCUGUCAGAACACCGUCGAAUUCCUCGUAGUCACCACACCUUUGUGAUUCCUGAACCUGGAGGGGCGCAAAACCAAAAUUGAGUGGGUCAGUAAAACAAUUCUUUUUCCAAAUCCAAACAUUUCUCAAAACGUUGUAACCCCUCUCCGUAAAACCUGUAUACUUUCCCAGAAAUGUAAAAUAUAAAUAUACAUAUAUAUUCUCAAGACUUCAAGUCGUUAACUCAACAUUUUCAUAACAAUUAUGCCAUGCCACAUCAUCUCAACAGUAAUAAGGUAUGAAUGCAUCAACAUAAUCAUAUCAGGUGCAAGAAAGUAAUCAACCGUAGGCCCUCUAAUAGCCCUGUACGGUUGAACCUAGAGCUCAAAAUCUAUCAUUAUCACUCUACCGGAGUCACCUCUGUGACCCGUCCGGCCUUCUGCACACAAGUUACGCUCUAGUGCUUCUCAUAAAUCAUCUGUGCACAUAAUCUAAGGUCACCCACCAGUCGGAAUCUCACUAACACUCUCGCGACUGGUCUGUCGUACCCACUCCGCGUGGACUGUACGACUAGCAUCUACUUGGAUCCAAGGCGAGCGUGCGAUGUGGUGAAUACUAUAAGCACUAAACCAUGGUGCAGGAUUUGAGCUCAAUAUAUAUCAUCAUCAUCAUAACAGUAAUUAAAUACUCAUCUGUGCGUCCACCGCACCAUUUCAUACAUAUGCAUCAUAAAUCAAUUCUUACCUGUGCGUCCACCGCACCAAUUCAUACAUAUGCAUCAUAAAUCAAUUCUUACCUGUGCGUCCACCGCACCAAUUCAUACAUAUGCAUCAUAAAUCAAUUCUUACAUGUGCGUCCACCGCACCAAUUCAUACAUAUGCAUCAUAUAUUAAUUCAUGCAUGGCAUUUCAACUCACAUUUCUAUAUACUUUUCAUAUCAAUUCUAUGCAUGGUAUUUCACUUCCCGUUUUUCCACAUAACUCAUAUGCAUUUCAUUUUAAACAUAUUUUCAUUUCAAUUCAAUUUCUGGGAAACGUCAAGUAUAUAUAUAUACGGAAAACAAAACUGCCCACUCACCUGGAGUUCGUCCAACAACUCCCUAGCACCACACAUCAAGGCGUCAUGACGAUCGCCGCCUAGAAUAGUAAUAGUAAUCAAAUCCAGGCUCAGAAUUCAUAUCGAUAGAAUACAUAACUUAUAUAAAAUACGUCACUACGUUGAUCGAUCCGGAAGAUCUGCCACUCAGAUUUUAAAUCCAUAACUUCCAGAGGUCCACAUUAUACCUCUAGGACAACAUCCUAAAAUUUCAUUACCAUCCAACGGUCGGAUCUCCGUCAAUUUCCAAAACUAAGUGACGGUUAACAUUUUAUAUUAUGGACUUACAAUUCCAAUUCCGGAAGAUCCGUAACUCGGAUUCCCAAUCCGUAAGUUCCAAUAAUCCUCAAAUAUUACGUAUUACAACGUAUCAAAUUUUGGUGACGAUCCAACGGUCGGAUCAUCAAUUCACAUUUUCACCUAAAUGUGAAAACUAUAAAACGUUAUUUGAACACCUAACCAACAAUCCUCAAUAACUUUCUCAUACGGUGUUCAAUUUAGGUAUAUGAAUAUACCACAGUGAUCUACUCGACGUCACGGACGUCGACAUAUUUUUAAAAUAAUUUUAUUUUUAUUUUUUAUUUUUACUGUAGCACCUUCUUCUUCCUUGGGUCGCCGGACUGGUUUUUCCGGCGGCCGUUUUCCGGGCAGUUUUUCAAAUUGCCAUAACUUUGUCAUUUCUCAACGAAAUCAAGUGAUUCAAAAACGAAAGUUGUAGCCCUUGAAGAGAAAAAGAGAAUGGUACCUUGCACAACACCUAGUUCGCCGUGGUUUGGCCGGAAACUUCCUCGAAAGCCUCGGAGGUCGCCGGAAACUGGGUAUUUUUCAAAUGAGUAUAACUUCUUCAAUACUCAACGAAAUUGAGUGAAACAAAAAGGAAAGUUGUAGUACUUGACGAGACGAAGAGAUUGAUACCUACCUCGACUCCUAACUCGCCGGGUAUUCGCCGGAAAACGCCUCGAAAGCUCCGGCCAAACUUUGAACUUGUCGAUCUCCGUGUUCUUACGUCCAAAAACUUCCAACGAAGCACUCCGAGCUUCCUUGGGACCUUACUAAACUCGCUGUGAUCUUGUUUUAGCCUAAAACGUAACCAAUUCAAAGCUCAUGAACAGUGUCAUCUCACGGCAACUUUAGAACUAGGGUUUUCGAAGUGAAACUCACCUGAAAUUGGUAUCCCCGUGCUCGUGAAGUCCCCAGGAUCACGAUGGUGGUCUUAAAUGGAACGUUGGUACAAGAUUGUGGUGGUUCUUGGUGGUUGCCGUGAGUUCGAGAGUAAGAGAGAGAAUGAGAGAGUUUCAGAAAAGAAUAAGAGAGAGAGAGAGUCUGGAAUGAAAGAAGAAGAGAGAAGAAAGGUUACGGGUUUUAGGGAGGGAAUUCAGGGUAGGAGGCCCUACCUAAGUCCAAGCACAAAUUAACACAUACAAAUAUAAAUCUAACCCUAGUUUAGGAUCUUAAAGUAAAACAAAUGUCAUACAUUUACACACCUUAAUCCCGUUUAAGGUCACAUUGGUCAUCUCACGUCCUCGGAAUUAAUAAUUCCGGGACGGGCUGUGACAAUCUCCCCUCCUUAUAGAAUUUCGUCCCCGAAAUUCCAAUCACCAACCAGAACAUCAAAACUCAUAAAAUAGUCUCGGAUACAUAACUCUCAUCCGUUCUUCUGUCUCCCAUGUAAUUUUCUACUGAAUGAUUUCCUUCACAAAGCUUUUACUACUUACUCUGUCUUAAUUCUUAGGACCUUCUUUUUCCAAUCCAAAGUCGACAUUAGUUCCUCACCAAUCAGAUCCGGCUUAAUUCUCAAUAGUUGCACCAAAGUCCCAUGUAACGACUCUGCCACUUAGUGACAACGCAUCGAACACAAAAUACAUUAUGUGCCUUAGCCAAUUCUGAAGGCAUCACAAACUUGUAUGCAAGUUUAUUGAUUCCUUUAGUGAAAAAAAAAAAUGGUCUGAUGUGUCUAAAUCUUAUCUUGUCUCUUUUCCAAUUCUCGUCAUUUCUGUUCGCGGUGAAUUUUCCAAAAAUAUCAAACCAUUUACCUUACACACUCGAUUAGUGGCAUAUCCAUCUGUUGAUCUCUUUUUGCCAUUCCUGGUUACUUCAGGUUAACUUAAUCACCUGAAUACUUUGAGGAGACUCAUCCAUAGUCUCAGGGUCUACUAAAACUCUUUCUUGAUCGAAUCUUUCUCUACCCAGAAACAUUCCAUUCACAAGUCAUCAAAAACCGACUCACGUGACACAUUUCAUGGUCCUUAUGGCGUUACUUCGGAAACUGCACAACCAACAUACUUAAGAAACUUAGCAGUUCCGUAAUCCAAUUCUCUUUUCCAUAAAACAAAUUAGUAAUGUUGCACUGUCUGGGAAAGGUUGUUACUCAACACUGGAGUAAAUGUACUAACUUGUUACUUAACAAGUAUAACUUCUUCUCGAUCUUCCAUUCUUAACUUUACUUUAGUUGGUUUCCAAUCCACAAGAAGAUAAUCUUGGCAAACGUGCCAGACAUUAAUCUUACUGUAGUCUUCUCGCCAAGUGCUUGAGCUAGAACAAACUUUACGAUCACCCUGAUCGUACAAUCAUGUUCAUUAAACAAUACAAUUCACUUUCGCUGCCUCAUAUCAAAUUCCUUCCAAGUAAUGGAUAUUGAAGACUUUUUGGAUUCGUAAAAAAAAAUCUUGCAUUCCCACUAAAAUAUAAUGUCUCCAUAACUUCACAGCACGAAUGGUAAUCGUGACUUCCAAAUCACCAGUAGGGUAAUUCAUCUUAUGAGAUUCCAUUUAUCGUGAAACGUAUGCAAUCACCCUAACAUUUGCAUCAACAUGCAUCCAAUACCAUUCAAGAAACAUCACUAAAAAUUUAUGAUUACCAUUAUUCUCUGGGAUUACCAAAAUACGUGCAUGAGUGAGGAAAUACUUCAGUUGUUGAAUCCUUUGCUUACAAUUCCUUCCCACUCAUACCUAACCUCUUUUCUCAACAGUCUCGUCAAUGACAAAGCAAUGACUGAAAAAUCUUUCACAACCAUCCAAGAUAGCCUGGUAAGCUAAGAAAUUCCAAAUCUCAAUUACGACUCGUGGUUGUUCCAAAUUUUAAUUUCUGUUACCUUUUAAGGAUUCACUUGAAUACCUUAAGAAUAUAUAACAUAUCCCAGAAAUGCUGCUUGAUUCAUCCAACAUUCGCAUUUGCUAAACUUAGCAUACAACCAACGUUCUCUUAAUCUUUGCUUCACCGACUUAAUACGUUUACAUGCUCUGCUCUAGGCUUAGAGUAUACCAGAAUAUCUUCAAUGAAAAUGAUAUCUAUUUAUCAAGGCAUUAUUGGAAUACUUCAUCCAAUAACUCAUAAAACAGCAUGAGUAUCCAUAUAGCAUCACCAAACUUCAUAAAGACUAUAACGAGUCCAGAAAACCAUCUUAUGAUCAAUGUCACUUAUAAUAUUCAAUUGGUAGUAACCAGAUCUCAAUUCAAUCUUUGAAUCUUCGCAAUUACUUCUGAGCUGGUUAAAUAAACAUCAGUACAUCACCAUGGAUAACGGUUCUCAAUCGUUACCCGACUCCAUUGUCUAUAAUCAAUGAACAGUCUCAAGAUCCAUUUUCUUCCUCACCAACAAACUGGGGCUCCUCAAAAGUGUUGUACUAGGUUGAAUAAAACUUUUAUCAACCAAUUCCCUCAACUGAAUUUCCAAUUCCCUUAACUCAUCAUGAACCAAUCUCCAAUAUAAAUUUAUACCUGGCAACAAAUCAAUAGUGAACCUCAUAUCUCUGCCUGAAGGCAAUCCAGGUAUACUUUCAGGGAAGACAUCAAGAAAAGUCUAACUCUUUCGACAUUAUUCACACUACUCCAAACAACAUCAUUUAGCACCACAUGAGCUAAGUAUUUUUGACAGCCUUUCGAAAACAAUCUCUUUGCUCUCACAACAUAAAUAAUGGCUGAACUCAAUCCAUUUUGCAUACUUACAAAAGUAAUCUCUGUUCAUCCAGAUCGAUGGAAAGUACUGGUUUCCCAUAACAUUUCGUCUUGUCACAAUUAUAACCAACCAAUCUAAUGGAAAUAAUUUAACCGACACAAUACAUACUCUAUUACUACUAAGCAUUCUGAAUAAGUACAAAAUAAUCUACCGGUUUACUUACUUAACGAAUCCACGAAUGAGUUAUUAAUAUUACGGUCUGCAGCCCGCAAUACUGAUAAAUCAUCGUUGUCUCGAUAAGUAGGCAACCACUCUCAAAGAUAUAACAUUACUAUUUUGUCACUCAAUGCAAAAUACAUACACUCAUCUCAACUACAUUUAUUUACUACUCUCAAGGUAAUAACAUACAUAAUAAGAAAUAUAUCAGCCGAAGUCAACUAGAAUGAUCAAUACGACUGAUUCAACUCUUAUCUCAAUAAUACGUCGGCCGGAUCCACUCCGCGUGGUCGGUACGGCCGAGCCUAUAACUCACAAAUUUCGCAUGUGUCAAUCGAAUCCACUUCUCGUGGCCUGUACGGCUGAACAUAUAACUCAUCAAAUUUCUCUGUACUCACAGUCAAUCCGACCAAACUACUAAGUUUAUAACUCUUCUGAAUCGACACUAUGAUAUCAUGGAAAAUUAUUGAGUACAACUGAUUCUAGGGACGAUUCACAAUUCUGUGUCCCCUCUGUUCACAUAAACACAUUCAUUAAUUUCACACUUCCCAAAGUGUUAAUUUUUGUACCUGCAGCACAAGGUACAUUUCCUUUACUCGAGACACCUUGUCUCAAAUAUCUGGGAUUACCAGUAUAUCCAUCACUUUUAUUCUGACCAGCGACAUUAAAACCUCAGCUGGAAAAAUUAACUCUAGCUUCACUUCUUUCGAAGCUCUGAAUCUUUCUAUAUCCUUGAUAUGACGAAUCAUUAACUUUAUCGUCUUCUUUUAAUUCCUAUUCUUUUCUUAUUCUUCUUUAUUCUCGUUGCUCAUGUUCUCAGAGUCCUCAAGAUUCAACAACAUCUAGCAUACUCCUGAUAAGAACUACAAUGGAUAGUGGUCACCCAAAAUACCACUUCCCUUUUGUCACCCAGCUUAAAACAACAUAACACCUCCACCAAAUUAACAACAAUAUCUGGAUGGAACGAGGCUAGUCUGAAAACUUUCUAUAAUAUCCCUCGAUCAUCACCUUCCUUGUCUCAUAUUUGUAAAUUCUUGUUUACUACCAUCGAUAAAUGCCGGAGGGAUAAACUUUUCCUUUAAACAAGUCCUUAAACAAUUCUCAAUCGACUGAUUCCUCUGGUGACAACAAUUCAUACUCCUGUUUCCACCAGGAUACAAAUUCAUAACCAAAACCAGGUAGUCGUCUCGACCCCCUGUCAGAAGGAAAUUUCCUUUGACUUGCAUAAUCUGAAACAUCUUUUCCAAAUGGUUAAACCGUUACUUCGCUCUCUCAGGUUCAUCAUUUCAUAAGGUGAUUCAAGUUCAACUCAUUACCCAUCUUAAAAUGUCCCUUUAGACAAUAGACUGAAUCACCAUAGUAAUAGUUUCCCCCUAAACCGCUAAAUCAGGGAGACUAAGUUCCUCUAACUACGUGGCUUGCUACGAGGCGGUGUAGUUCUGACAGAAUUCACUAGAACUUCUCAAGAUGUCCAAGAUUGCAACCAUGCUCUGAUACCAACUGACACACCCCGUCCCGAAGGAGGGCAUGCUGGCCGUCACGUGAGAGUGACGUAACCAUUUGCACAGUACGGAAGCUUUAAGAUACAAUUUAUAAGUUGAUACACCCGAAGGUGAGUCCUAAUUUUGUCCAAUCUGUCAGAACACCGUCGAAUUCCUCGUAGUCACCACACCUUUGUGAUUCCUGAACCUGGAGGGGCGCAAAACCAAAAUUGAGUGGGUCAGUAAAACAAUUCUUUUUCCAAAUCCAAACAUUUCUCAAAACGUUGUAACCCCUCUCCGUAAAACCUGUAUACUUUCCCAGAAAUGUAAAAUAUAAAUAUACAUAUAUAUUCUCAAGACUUCAAGUCGUUAACUCAACAUUUUCAUAACAAUUAUGCCAUGCCACACAUCAUCUCAACAGUAAUAAGGUAUGAAUGCAUCAACAUAAUCAUAUCAGGUGCAAGAAAGUAAUCAACCGUAGGCCCUCUAAUAGCCCUGUACGGUUGAACCUAGAGCUCAAAAUCUAUCAUUAUCACUCUACCGGAGUCACCUCUGUGACCCGUCCGGCCUUCUGCACACAAGUUACGCUCUAGUGCUUCUCAUAAAUCAUCUGUGCACAUAAUCUAAGGUCACCCACCAGUCGGAAUCUCACUAACACUCUCGCGACUGGUCUGUCGUACCCACUCCGCGUGGACUGUACGACUAGCAUCUACUUGGAUCCAAGGCGAGCGUGCGAUGCGGUGAAUACUAUAAGCACUAAACCAUGGUGCAGGAUUUGAGCUCAAUAUAUAUCAUCAUCAUCAUAACAGUAAUUAAAUACUCAUCUGUGCGUCCACCGCACCAUUUCAUACAUAUGCAUCAUAAAUCAAUUCUUACCUGUGCGUCCACCGCACCAAUUCAUACAUAUGCAUCAUAAAUCAAUUCUUACCUGUGCGUCCACCGCACCAAUUCAUACAUAUGCAUCAUAAAUCAAUUCUUACAUGUGCGUCCACCGCACCAAUUCAUACAUAUGCAUCAUAUAUUAAUUCAUGCAUGGCAUUUCAACUCACAUUUCUAUAUACUUUUCAUAUCAAUUCUAUGCAUGGUAUUUCACUUCCCGUUUUUCCACAUAACUCAUAUGCAUUUCAUUUUAAACAUAUUUUCAUUUCAAUUCAAUUUCUGGGAAACGUCAAGUAUAUAUAUAUACGGAAAACAAAACUGCCCACUCACCUGGAGUUCGUCCAACAACUCCCUAGCACCACACAUCAAGGCGUCAUGACGAUCGCCGCCUAGAAUAGUAAUCAAAUCCAGGCUCAGAAUUCAUAUCGAUAGAAUACAUAACUUAUAUAAAAUACGUCACUACGUUGAUCGAUCCGGAAGAUCUGCCACUCAGAUUUUUAAAUCCAUAACUUCCAGAGGUCCACAUUAUACCUCUAGGACAACAUCCUAAAAUUUCAUUACCAUCCAACGGUCGGAUCUCCGUCAAUUUCCAAAACUAAGUGACGGUUAACAUUUUAUAUUAUGGACUUACAAUUCCAAUUCCGGAAGAUCCGUAACUCGGAUUCCCAAUCCGUAAGUUCCAAUAAUCCUCAAAUAUUACGUAUUACAACGUAUCAAAUUUUGGUGACGAUCCAACGGUCGGAUCAUCAAUUCACAUUUUCACCUAAAUGUGAAAACUAUAAAACGUUAUUUGAACACCUAACCAACAAUCCUCAAUAACUUUCUCAUACGGUGUUCAAUUUAGGUAUAUGAAUAUACCACAGUGAUCUACUCGACGUCACGGACGUCGACAUAUUUUUAAAAAUAAUUUUAUUUUUAUUUUUUAUUUUUACUGUAGCACCUUCUUCUUCCUUGGGUCGCCGGACUGGUUUUUCCGGCGGCCGUUUUCCGGGCAGUUUUUUCAAAUUGCCAUAACUUUGUCAUUUCUCAACGAAAUCAAGUGAUUCAAAAACGAAAGUUGUAGCCCUUGAAGAGAAAAAGAGAAUGGUACCUUGCACAACACCUAGUUCGCCGUGGUUUGGCCGGAAACUUCCUCGAAAGCCUCGGAGGUCGCCGGAAACUGGGUAUUUUUCAAAUGAGUAUAACUUCUUCAAUACUCAACGAAAUUGAGUGAAACAAAAAGGAAAGUUGUAGUACUUGACGAGACGAAGAGAUUGAUACCUACCUCGACUCCUAACUCGCCGGGUAUUCGCCGGAAAACGCCUCGAAAGCUCCGGCCAAACUUUGAACUUGUCGAUCUCCGUGUUCUUACGUCCAAAAACUUCCAACGAAGCACUCCGAGCUUCCUUGGGACCUUACUAAACUCGCUGUGAUCUUGUUUUAGCCUAAAACGUAACCAAUUCAAAGCUCAUGAACAGUGUCAUCUCACGGCAACUUUAGAACUAGGGUUUUCGAAGUGAAACUCACCUGAAAUUGGUAUCCCCGUGCUCGUGAAGUCCCCAGGAUCACGAUGGUGGUCUUAAAUGGAACGUUGGUACAAGAUUGUGGUGGUUCUUGGUGGUUGCCGUGAGUUCGAGAGUAAGAGAGAGAAUGAGAGAGUUUUCAGAAAAGAAUAAGAGAGAGAGAGAGUCUGGAAUGAAAGAAGAAGAGAGAAGAAAGGUUACGGGUUUUAGGGAGGGAAUUCAGGGUAGGAGGCCCUACCUAAGUCCAAGCACAAAUUAACACAUACAAAUAUAAAUCUAACCCUAGUUUAGGAUCUUAAAGUAAAACAAAUGUCAUACAUUUACACACCUUAAUCCCGUUUAAGGUCACAUUGGUCAUCUCACGUCCUCGGAAUUAAUAAUUCCGGGACGGGCUGUGACA